Molecule: non-coding RNA, 435 nt
Organism: Pelobates cultripes (western spadefoot toad)
Lineage: Eukaryota; Metazoa; Chordata; Amphibia; Anura; Pelobatidae
Source: the annotation of a GenBank genome assembly
ACACUGCUCUGUAUAAUGAUACUGAGUAUCUAUACGCUGAUAAUGAACACAGCGCUCUGUAUAAUGAUACGGAGUAUCUAUACGCUGAUAAUGAACACAGCGCUCUGUAUAAUAAUACUGAGUAUCUAUACGCUGAUAAUGAACACAGCGCUCUGUAUAAUGAUACUGAGUAUCUAUACGCUGAUAAUGAACACACCGCUCUGUAUAAUGAUACUGAGUAUCUAUACGCUGAUAAUGAACACAGCGCUCUGUAUAAUAAUACUGAGUAUCUAUACACUGAUAAUGAACACAGCGCUCUGUAUAAUGAUACUGAGUAUCUAUACACUGAUAAUGAACACAGCGCUCUGUAUAAUGAUACUGAGUAUCUAUACGCUGAUAAUGAACACAGCGCUCUGUAUAAUGAUACGGAGUAUCUAUCCCAGGAUAGUAUGCUAG